This 1447-nucleotide ribosomal RNA is filed under the name Datisca glomerata. Its description in RNAcentral is "SSU rRNA". It matches the Rfam family "Eukaryotic small subunit ribosomal RNA", at positions 346 to 1823 of the family's 1831-position model. The record is from RNAcentral. Lineage: Eukaryota; Viridiplantae; Streptophyta; Magnoliopsida; Cucurbitales; Datiscaceae.
AUUGUGGUGACAGGUGGCAGAGAAUUAGGAUUCGAUUCUGGAGAGGGAGCGUUAGAAAUGGAUACGAUAUCCAAGGAGGGUAGCAUGUUUGAAAAUUACCCACUCUUGACACGGGGAAGUUAUGAAAAUAAAUAACAAUACAAGACUCUUAUAGUCUCGUAAUUGGAAUGAGUACAAUCAAAAUCCCUUAACGAGGAUCCACUGGAGGGAAAAUUUGGUACCAGUAGCCGUGAUAAUCUAGCUCCAAUAGAGUAUAUUUAAGUUGUUAUAGUUAAAAAUCUCAUAGUUGGACCUUGGGUUGGUUCAAUCGGUCCGUUUAUGGUGUGCACCAGUUGGCUCAUCCCUUUGACUAGUGAUGCACUCCUGGCCUCUGGCUGGGUUGUGCCUCUAGUGUUCUUACUUUAAAGAAAUUAAAGUGCUCAAUGCAUGUCUACGCUCUAUAUAUGUUAGCAUGGGAUAAUAUCAUAGGAAUUUCAUCUUAUUCUAUUGGCCUUUGGGAUCAGAGUAAUGAUUAAUAGGGAUAGUCGGGAGCAUCAUAUUUCAUAGUAAGAGGUGAAAUUCUUGGAAUUAUGAAAGAUGAACAACUGUGAAAGCAUUUUCCAAGGAUAUUUUCAUUAAUCAAGAACGGAAGUUGGAGGUUCAAAGAUGAUCAGAUACCAUCCUACUCUCAACAAAAAAUGAUGCCGACCAAGGAUCGACAGAUGUUACUUUUGGACACAGCCGACACCUUAUAAAAAAUCAAAGUCUUUGGGUUUCGGGGGGAGUAUCGUCGCAAGGCUGAAACUUAAAGUUAUUGAAGGAAAGGCACAACCAGGAGUGGAGCCUGCGUCUUAAUUUGACUUAACACGGGUAAACUUUCCAGGUCCAGACAUAGUAGGUAUUGACAAACUGAGAGCUCUUUCUUGAUUCUAUGGGAGGUGGUGCAUGGCUGUUCUAAGUUGGUGGAGAGAUUUGUCUGGUUAAGUCUGUUAACGAAUGAGACCUCAUCCUGCUAACUAGUGAUAUGGAGGUGACCCUCCAUGACCAUCUUCUUAGAGGGACUAUGGCCUCUUAGGCGAAGGAAGUUAGAGGCAAUAACAAGUAUGUGAUGCCCUUAGAUGUUCAGGGCUGCAUGUGCACCACACUGAUGUAUUCAACUAGUAUAUAACCUUGGCCGACAGGCUCGAGAAAUCUUUGAAAUUUCAUCAUGCUGGGGAUAGAUCAUUGCAAUUGUUGGUCUUCAACGAGGAAUUCCUAGUAAGUGUGAGUCAUCAUCUCACGUUGACUAUGUCCCUGCCCUUUGUACACACCACCCAUCGCUCCUACCGAUUGAAUGGUCUAGUGAAGUGUCCGGAUCAUAGUGACGUGGGCGGUUCAUUGCUGGUGAUGUCGUGAGAAGUCCACUCAACCUUAUCAUUUAAAGGAAGGAGAAGUAGUAACAAAGUUUCCGUAGGUGAACCUGUAGAAG